GAUGAACGCUGGCGGCGUGCCUAAUACAUGCAAGUCGAGCGAACGGACGAGAAGCUUGCUUCUCUGAUGUUAGCGGCGGACGGGUGAGUAACGCGUGGAUAACCUACCUAUAAGACUGGGAUAACUUCGGGAAACCGGAGCUAAUACCGGAUAAUAUUUUGAACCGCAUGGUUCAAAAGUGAAAGACGGUCUUGCUGUCACUUAUAGAUGGAUCCGCGCUGCAUUAGCUAGUUGGUAAGGUAACGGCUUACCAAGGCAACGAUGCAUAGCCGACCUGAGAGGGUGAUCGGCCACACUGGAACUGAGACACGGUCCAGACUCCUACGGGAGGCAGCAGUAGGGAAUCUUCCGCAAUGGGCGAAAGCCUGACGGAGCAACGCCGCGUGAGUGAUGAAGGUCUUCGGAUCGUAAAACUCUGUUAUUAGGGAAGAACAUAUAUGUAAGUAACUGUGCACAUCUUGACGGUACCUAAUCAGAAAGCCACGGCUAACUACGUGCCAGCAGCCGCGGUAAUACGUAGGUGGCAAGCGUUAUCCGGAAUUAUUGGGCGUAAAGCGCGCGUAGGCGGUUUUUUAAGUCUGAUGUGAAAGCCCACGGCUCACCCGUGGAGGGUCAUUGGAAACUGGAAAACUUGAGUGCAGAAGAGGAAAGUGGAAUUCCAUGUGUAGCGGUGAAAUGCGCAGAGAUAUGGAGGAACACCAGUGGCGAAGGCGACUUUCUGGUCUGUAACUGACGCUGAUGUGCGAAAGCGUGGGGAUCAAACAGGAUUAGAUACCCUGGUAGUCCACGCCGUAAACGAUGAGUGCUAAGUGUUAGGGGGUUUCCGCCCCUUAGUGCUGCAGCUAACGCAUUAAGCACUCCGCCUGGGGAGUACGACCGCAAGGUUGAAACUCAAAGGAAUUGACGGGGACCCGCACAAGCGGUGGAGCAUGUGGUUUAAUUCGAAGCAACGCGAAGAACCUUACCAAAUCUUGACAUCCUUUGACAACUCUAGAGAUAGAGCUUUCCCCUUCGGGGGACAAAGUGACAGGUGGUGCAUGGUUGUCGUCAGCUCGUGUCGUGAGAUGUUGGGUUAAGUCCCGCAACGAGCGCAACCCUUAAGCUUAGUUGCCAUCAUUAAGUUGGGCACUCUAAGUUGACUGCCGGUGACAAACCGGAGGAAGGUGGGGAUGACGUCAAAUCAUCAUGCCCCUUAUGAUUUGGGCUACACACGUGCUACAAUGGACAAUACAAAGGGCAGCGAAACCGCGAGGUCUAGCAAAUCCCAUAAAGUUGUUCUCAGUUCGGAUUGUAAUCUGCAACUCGACUACAUGAAGCUGGAAUCGCUAGUAAUCCGUAGAUUCAGCAUGCUACGGUGAAUACUUUCCCGGGUCU
Molecule: ribosomal RNA, 1374 nt
Filed under: uncultured bacterium
Lineage: Bacteria
Description: bacterial SSU rRNA
Rfam family: Bacterial small subunit ribosomal RNA
Source: RNAcentral